CUGGUUUACUUUCCCUAUUCCAAGAUCUGUUUCACAUUUCUGUGCCAAAACAGCUCGGCUAUCUCCAACAUUCAUCAAGUAAACAUCUUCUCCUUUCAUCAACAUCACCAAAACACAAGAACCCAUCAAAGAUAACUCAGGUUUCUCUGCUGCCAUCUUAUCAGCAAUUUCAAAGAAGGACUCCUCAGUCUUCUUCAAUGCCUGGGAAAGUGCGUUCAAAACAUCGAAAUGGUUAACCCCAUUAGAGUUGGACCCUUUACAAUUCAGUUUCUCUUUUAAUUUCCUAUCAAGUUCCAUUCUUUCUCUGUCCCAUUCACACCUCCACCUCCUCUGGCUCUCCUCCCAUCUUUUUGCUGCGCCUUUACUCCUAUGCCUCGAAUUCUUUCCCUGGGUUCUCUUCAAGUAAUGAUUUAAGUCGAAAUCCUCAUCUCUAGUGCCAAAUGGAUGAUUUUCCUUGUCAAUCGAAGGUGAUGCCUCCUUUGUUUCCUCUGUUUUUGAAGCGGAUUCAAACUUGUCCAUCCAUAACAAUCCUUUGAGCUCCUCAUUAACAUUAGUAUAGAGAUUGGAAAGCAAAUAAUCAGGAGCAUCAGGGCCAUUAAAGCCAUCAUAAAUUCCCACAAAAACCCAUCCAUGUUCCUCUGAUAUUACUAUAUGAACUCGAUCCUCACCUGCUUUCCCUUGUGCCCAUUGCAGAUUCUGGCUUUCCAUUGAAAACAAACUAUCAUCAUCAACAUCAUUAUUGGAGCUCGCCUGGGCACUGAAAUUAGCACUGCUACCGCUCAAGUUUUCGCCAGUUCCAGCUGAAACUGAUUCUUUAACACCUUUGAUCGGUGCCAUUAUAGAUUUUUUCCCUCGAGAGAUGGUGU
RNAcentral lists this unclassified non-coding RNA (866 nucleotides) under Hevea brasiliensis (rubber tree). Lineage: Eukaryota; Viridiplantae; Streptophyta; Magnoliopsida; Malpighiales; Euphorbiaceae. The record is from RNAcentral.